AGAGUUUGAUCAUGGCUCAGGAUGAACGCUAGCUACAGGCUUAACACAUGCAAGUCGGAGGGGCAGCAUGAACUUAGCUUGCUAAGUUUGAUGGCGACCGGCGCACGGGUGAGUAACACGUAUCCAACCUGCCGAUGACCCGGGGAUAGCCUUUACGAAAGAAAGAUUAAUACCCGAUGGCAUAGUUCUUCCGCAUGGUGGAACUAUUAAAGAAUUUCGGUCAUCGAUGGGGAUGCGUUCCAUUUA
This 246-nucleotide ribosomal RNA is filed under the name uncultured bacterium. RNAcentral's name for it is "partial 16S ribosomal RNA". It matches the Rfam family "Bacterial small subunit ribosomal RNA", at positions 8 to 244 of the family's 1533-position model. The record is from RNAcentral.